RNAcentral lists this ribosomal RNA (293 nucleotides) under uncultured bacterium. RNAcentral describes it as "partial 16S ribosomal RNA". It matches the Rfam family "Bacterial small subunit ribosomal RNA", at positions 29 to 348 of the family's 1533-position model. The record is from RNAcentral.
AACGAACGCUGGCGGCAUGCCUAACACAUGCAAGUCGAACGAGACCUUCGGGUCUAGUGGCGCACGGGUGCGUAACGCGUGGGAACCUGCCUUUAGGUUCGGGAAUAACUCAGAGAAAUUUGAGCUAAUACCGGAUGAUGUCUUCGGACCAAAAGAUUUAUCGCCUUUAGAUGGGCCCGCGUAAGAUUAGCUAGUUGGUGGGGUAAAGGCCUACCAAGGCGACGAUCUUUAGCUGGUCUGAGAGGAUGAUCAGCCACACUGGGACUGAGACACGGCCCAGACUCCUACGGAGG